GAUGAACGCUGGCGGCGUGCCUAAUACAUGCAAGUCGAGCGAACAGACGAGGAGCUUGCUCCUCUGACGUUAGCGGCGGACGGGUGAGUAACACGUGGAUAACCUACCUAUAAGACUGGGGUAACAUCGGGAAACCGGAGCUAAUACCGGAUAAUAUAUUGAACCGCAUGGUUCAAUAGUGAAAGACGGUUUUGCUGUCACUUAUAGAUGGAUCCGCGCCGCAUUAGCUAGUUGGUAAGGUAACGGCUUACCAAGGCAACGAUGCGUAGCCGACCUGAGAGGGUGAUCGGCCACACUGGAACUGAGACACGGUCCAGACUCCUACGGGAGGCAGCAGUAGGGAAUCUUCCGCAAUGGGCGAAAGCCUGACGGAGCAACGCCGCGUGAGUGAUGAAGGUCUUCGGAUCGUAAAACUCUGUUAUUAGGGAAGAACAAAUGUGUAAGUAACUAUGCACGUCUUGACGGUACCUAAUCAGAAAGCCACGGCUAACUACGUG
Molecule: ribosomal RNA, 497 nt
Filed under: uncultured bacterium
Lineage: Bacteria
Description: partial 16S ribosomal RNA
Rfam family: Bacterial small subunit ribosomal RNA
Source: RNAcentral